ACGCUAGCGAUAGGCUUAACACAUGCAAGUCGAGGGGCAUCACGAAUUAGCAAUAGUUUGGUGGCGACCGGCGCACGGGUGCGUAACACGUAUACAACCUACCUUCAAUUGGGGGAUAACCUGGAGAAAUUCGGACUAAUAUCCCAUAGUAAACGGAAGAGGCAUCUUUUUUGUUUUAAAGAUUUAUUGAUUGGAGAUGGGUAUGCGUAGGAUUAGCUAGUUGGUAAGGUAACGGCUUACCAAGGCGACGAUCCUUAGGGGUUCUGAGAGGAAGGUCCCCCACACUGGUACUGAGACACGGACCAGACUCCUACGGGAGGCAGCAGUGAGGAAUAUUGGUCAAUGGUCGAGAGACUGAACCAGCCAAGUCGCGUGAAGGAAGACGGCUCUAUGAGUUGUAAACUUCUUUUGUACAGGAGUAAAGUGAGACACGUGUGUUUUAUUGCAAGUACUGUACGAAUAAGCAUCGGCUAACUCCGUGUCAGCAGCCGCGGUAAUACGGAGGAUGCAAGCGUUAUCCGGAUUUAUUGGGUUUAAAGGGUGCGUAGGCGGUAUUACAAGUCAGGGGUGAAAUCUUGGUGCUUAACAUUAAAAUUGCCUUUGAAACUGUGGUACUUGAGUGUAAAAGAGGUAGGCGGAAUGUGUUGUGUAGCGGUGAAAUGCAUAGAUAUAACACAGAACCCCGAUUGCGAAGGCAGCUUACUAUCAUACAACUGACGCUGAUGCACGAAAGCGUGGGGAUCAAACAGGAUUAGAUACCCUGGUAGUCCACGCAGUAAACGAUGAUUACUAGCUGUUAGCGAUAUAGUGUUAGUGGCUAAGCGAAAGCGAUAAGUAAUCCACCUGGGGAGUACGUUCGCAAGAUGAAACUCAAAGGAUUUGACGGGGGCCCGCACAAGCGGAGGACAU
Molecule: ribosomal RNA, 909 nt
Filed under: uncultured bacterium
Lineage: Bacteria
Description: bacterial SSU rRNA
Rfam family: Bacterial small subunit ribosomal RNA
Source: RNAcentral